GAUGAACGCUGGCGGCGUGCCUAAUACAUGCAAGUCGAGCGAACAGAUGAGGAGCUUGCUCCUCUGACGUUAGCGGCGGACGGGUGAGUAACACGUGGAUAAACUACCUAUAAGACUGGGAUAACUUCGGGAAACCGGAGCUAAUACCGGAUAAUAUAUUGAACCGCAUGGUUCAAUAGUGAAAGACGGUUUUGCUGUCACUUAUAGAUGGAUCCGCGCCGCAUUAGCUAGUUGGUAAGGUAACGGCUUACCAAGGCAACGAUGCGUAGCCGACCUGAGAGGGUGAUCGGCCACACUGGAACUGAGACACGGUCCAGACUCCUACGGGAGGCAGCAGUAGGGAAUCUUCCGCAAUGGGCGAAAGCCUGACGGAGCAACGCCGCGUGAGUGAUGAAGGUCUUCGGAUCGUAAAACUCUGUUAUUAGGGAAGAACAAAUGUGUAAGUAACUAUGCACGUCUUGACGGUACCUAAUCAGAAAGCCACGGCUAACUACGUG
RNAcentral lists this ribosomal RNA (497 nucleotides) under uncultured bacterium. RNAcentral's name for it is "partial 16S ribosomal RNA". It matches the Rfam family "Bacterial small subunit ribosomal RNA", at positions 28 to 507 of the family's 1533-position model. The record is from RNAcentral.